AUGGCGAAAACCAAGAACGCUGGUGGUGGUGAUGUUCUGUGUGCCGAAUUCUCUGAGCAGAAAAUGAGCCAACAUGGGCAACGGGUGCGGCUCCUUAACCAGAAGCACUCCUGGCUCCAAGGCCUAGGGCACCCUACAGCGAAGAUGACAGUGAAAUCUUUAAAGAUUUGGGGCAAAGGCUCUGAGUGCUACUGGGGCCUUUCUUACAUGGGGACCAACAUCGAUUCACCGCAGCACGCCACCUCUGAAAGAAGCGGCAGCGAGACUCAGCCUGGAAACACCGGCUCUGAAGCAGAAUUCUCCCCCCAUUUUUCAGCAGUCAUUACUACAAGCGAAAAGGAGACUAUCAAAGCCGCAUUGUCACAUGUGUGUGUGUGUGUGGAGAUAGCAUAUUUGGGGCAGCCGGGGCUGGUUACAAGAGUCUCUGUGUUGUCCAAGGCCUUGUUGACAUUUACAUCUUUUCAGAAGAUACCACAUUCAAGCGGGACUCUUGUGCUGCUCAUGCCACACUGCGGGCCAUGGGUGGGGGAAUAGUAGACUUGAAAGAAUGCUUAGAAAGAAAUCCUGAAAUGGAGCUUGAUUUGCCACAGUUGGUGUACCACGUGGAAAACAAGGGCCCUACUGGGGUGGAUCGGUGGGCCACCAAGAGAGGACUGAUUGCAUACAGAUCCAGGAAGCGGCUAGAGACAUUCCUGAGUCUCCUCAUCCAAAACCUGGAACCUGCAGAGACAGAGACAUAGCUGGACUCAACCUCAGUAUACGUAUAAAUGGAACUGUGAAACUACUUCCCAUUAUCUCUGUCUUUUGAAGAUAGCUUUGUCCUAUUGCUGGUAACAUUCACCUUCCUCUCUGAGGAGCAUUUUUCCAUUAUGUGUUCAUAAUAAUGUUAACUUCAAUAAAUUAAUAUUCAUGCAGCAAAAA
This is an RNA transcript of Propithecus coquereli (Coquerel's sifaka), 921 nucleotides long. It is a transcript of the gene named inositol polyphosphate 1-phosphatase-like, with no coding region annotated. The record is from RefSeq and is a predicted model, not a curated record. NCBI's taxonomy places the organism in Eukaryota, Metazoa, Chordata, Mammalia, Primates, Indriidae. The transcript has 2 exons.